AACAUACGAGAUGAAUGUGGUCCUUAGCUUGAGGGAGAGAAUGUGAGAUAACAAGUUAAGUCCCACAUCGGAUAUUAGACAAAGGAAAGUCUAAUAUAUAAAGAUAUGUCCAACUCUAAUAGUACGAGGCCUUUUGGGAAGGAAACCAAAAGUAAAUCCAUGCGGGCUAGCCUCCUAGGCCCAAAGUGGACAAUAUCGUACUAAUAAGAUAAGAUAGAGUUGGACACGGGAUUUCACAAUC
This 241-nucleotide long non-coding RNA is filed under the name Brassica rapa (field mustard). Its description in RNAcentral is "long non-coding RNA (BRAP_LNC005200)". Lineage: Eukaryota; Viridiplantae; Streptophyta; Magnoliopsida; Brassicales; Brassicaceae. The record is from RNAcentral.